CUUCGGCUCUCGCCUUUAGAUUGGCCCAAGUGGGAUUAGCUAGUUGGUGAGGUAAUGGCUCACCAAGGCAACGAUCCCUAGCUGGUUUGAGAGGAUGAUCAGCCACACUGGAACUGAGACACGGUCCAGACUCCUACGGGAGGCAGCAGUGGGGAAUAUUGCACAAUGGGCGAAAGCCUGGAUGCAGGCCGAUGCCGCGUGUGUGAAGAAGGCCUUCGGGUUGUAAAGCACUUUCAGUCAGGAGGAAAGGGUGUGAGUUAAUACCUUCACAUCUGUGACGUUACUGACAGAAGAAGCACCGGCUAACUCCGUGCCAGCAGCCGCGGUAA
Molecule: ribosomal RNA, 329 nt
Filed under: uncultured bacterium
Lineage: Bacteria
Description: bacterial SSU rRNA
Rfam family: Bacterial small subunit ribosomal RNA
Source: RNAcentral